Long non-coding RNA from Drosophila biarmipes, 731 nucleotides. RefSeq lists it as uncharacterized. The record is from RefSeq and is a predicted model, not a curated record. Lineage: Eukaryota; Metazoa; Arthropoda; Insecta; Diptera; Drosophilidae. The transcript is spliced from 3 exons.
GAUCUGAUUUGCUACACAAACGCUGGCGACUUAACGCUCGGCAGCCAAGGGAAACAAACGGUGGCUGCCCAGACGAAUAUAUAUCAAAUAAUACAAAUUACCGACCACGAAUCCAAAUCACGGCAUCAAAGUAAACACAAAUCAACGGUUUCUGCACCGUUUGCCGGGCGGGCAAUAAAAACUCUUCAAUGUCAAGUGGGUCGGGUCGCCCAGUUGCAGAGCCCAUAAAUCACGUGUCUCGGGCAGAUGAAGACGUGACCGGAGUGCGUAAAAAACCCAAUAAAACAAUAUAAUGCCUGUAAACUAACAAUAAUAACAGCCCCCCUCGGUAAUGGAGCCCCACAAUGCCAUAAAGGCAGCCCGGUGAUUGACCAACGUCACAGCGUCGCUUGGCGUUUUUCAGAACAUCCCAUAUCGUGACCGAGCCGAUGACAGACUCCCUGUCAAAUCUGCUCAGACCGAGACGGUCUUUGAACGCUUUGAUUGGGUUUUAUUGACACGGCCAAGUACUCACUUAGCCAUGACUUGUUUGCUUUGCCGCUGGUUGCAUACCAGUCAAGAAACCCCAGAGAAAGAAGCUCGAAGUAUGUUUAAUUUGUCACUAAUUUUAUUGAUGAAAUCUUCUUUGUGGCGAGCUUGAUGACUGAUAUCCUUAUCAAAAAGAAAAGCGCCCCCCUAGUGGCGCAGCAGCAUGUUGCUGACCUUGGCCUCGGCCUUGGGCGAGAUUUUCU